RNAcentral lists this non-coding RNA (32 nucleotides) under Homo sapiens (human). The record is from RNAcentral. Lineage: Eukaryota; Metazoa; Chordata; Mammalia; Primates; Hominidae.
UCCAUCGUUACAAUGGCCUCUUUAGACCCAGC